UAAGCGGAGGAAAAGAAACUAACAAGGAUUCCCCUAGUAACUGCGAGUGAAGCGGGAAAAGCUCAAAUUUAAAAUCUGGUGGUCUUUUGGCCGUCCGAGUUGUAAUUUAGAGAAGCGUCUUCCGCGCUGGACCGUACACAAGUCUCCUGGAACGGAGCGUCAUAGAGGGUGAGAAUCCCGUCUUUGGUACGGACCCCAGGGCUUCUGUGAUGCGCUCUCGAAGAGUCGAGUUGUUUGGGAAUGCAGCUCAAAAUGGGUGGUGAACUCCAUCUAAAGCUAAAUAUUGGCGAGAGACCGAUAGCGAACAAGUACCGUGAGGGAAAGAUGAAAAGCACUUUGGAAAGAGAGUGAAACAGUACGUGAAAUUGUUGAAAGGGAAACGCUUGAAGUCAGUCGCGUCCGCCGAGACUCAGCCUCGCUCCGGCUUGGCGUAUUUCUCGGUCGACGGGUCAGCAUCAAUUUCGUCCCUCGGAUAAUGGCAAGGGAAAGGUGGCACCUUUGCGGGUGUGUUAUAGUCUUUUGUCGCAUGCGAGGGGUGAGAUUGAGGAACUCAGCACGCGCGCCCUCUGGGGUGUGUCGGGGCCUCGGCCCACGCCACGUGCUUAGGAUGCUGGCGUAAUGGCUUUAAACGACC
This 634-nucleotide ribosomal RNA is filed under the name uncultured Russulaceae. Its description in RNAcentral is "LSU rRNA". It matches the Rfam family "Eukaryotic large subunit ribosomal RNA", at positions 47 to 649 of the family's 3401-position model. The record is from RNAcentral. Lineage: Eukaryota; Fungi; Basidiomycota; Agaricomycetes; Russulales; Russulaceae.